Callithrix jacchus (white-tufted-ear marmoset) is the source of this 110-nucleotide small nuclear RNA. Lineage: Eukaryota; Metazoa; Chordata; Mammalia; Primates; Cebidae. The record is from Ensembl.
GUGCUUACUUCGGCAGCACAUAUACUAAAACUGGAAUGAUUCAGGGAAGAUUACUAUGGCCCCUGUGCAAGGAUGACACAUUGACACAGGAAUUCAUGAAGCAUUCUUUU